GAAGUGGCUACACCAGGGAAGUAAAUGCAUCUCACUCUCUGAAAGCACUAACUACCUAAAGAUCCUUAGGGAGCCAUAGGAUUUCACAAGCCCCUGGCAACUGUUAACUUUCCAAAAAUUCUCAGGAAUGGGUAUGUGGCUUGUGAGCAUUCUAUCCUCUCCAUGACAGAUGAUAAGGGCCCAAUAUUCUGCAGAUAAUAACAGCUGCUGAGAUUUCAGGCUUGCAGAAGCUAUGUCAUGUCCAAAAGAGAAUUCAGUCCAUACCACUCCACCCUUUCCUCUACCUCUUAUAGUCUUUCUUUACUUUCUUCCAUGGAGUUCCCUGACCCAUGGAGGGGGUGAUAUGCAUGUCUCAUUUAAGGCUUGAAUUCAGCAAUCACAUACUCUCAACACUUUGGCCACUUAAGAAUCUCUGCAGUAACCAUGAAAUUUUCAGGCAAAUGGUGGGAACUGGAAAAGAUCAUCCUGAGUGAGGUAUCCCAGAAUCAGAAAGACACACAGGUUAUAUACUCACUCAUAAGUGGGUAUUAGACAUAUAAUAUAGGAUAAACAUACUAAAAUCUGUAUACCUAAAGAAACUAAUCAAGAAAGAAGACUCUGGCUAAGACGCUUAAUCCUCAUUCAGAAAGAGAAAGAGGAUGGACAUCAAAAGAGGGAGAAAACAGGGAAAAGGACAUAGAGCCUACCACAAAGGGCCUACCACAAAGACUCUACCCUGCGGGGUAUCAACUCAGAUACUGAGACUUAUGGCUAAACUUUGGGCAGAGCACAUGGAAUCUUAUGAAAGAAGUGGGUAAGACCUGGAGAGGACAGGAGCUCCACAAGGAGAACAGAAACAAAAAAUCUGGGCACAGGGGUCUUUUCUGAGACUCAUACUCCAACCAAUGACCAUUCAUGGAGAUAACCUAGAUAACCCCUGCUCAGCUGUAGCCUAUGGCAGCUCAGUAUCCAAGUGGGUUCCCUAGUAAAGGGAACAGGGACUAUCUCUAACAUGAACUCAGUGUCUGGCUCUUUAAUCACCUCCCCCUGAGAGGGGAGCAACCUUACCAGUCCACAGAGGAAGAAAAUGCAGCCACUCCUGAUGAGACCUGAUAGACCAGGGUCAUAGGGAAGGGGAGGAGGACCUCCCUUAUCAGUGGACUGGGGGAGGGGCAUGGGUGGAGAAGAGGAAGUGAGGAUGAGAUUGGUAGGGGAGGAGGGAGAGAGCUACAGGUGGGAAGCAAAGUGAAUAAACUGUAAUUAAUAAAAAUAUAAAUUAAAAAAAGAAAGAAAAGAAUCUCUGCAGUAACUGUUACCAGACACUUCUUUGACUGAAUCCAACAGCAGCACUGAUUUAUUGGCAUAAAAAUGAAUACUUGAAAGAACCAUAUACCCAUUUUUGUCAUUUUAAUGUGCUAAAAUAUACAAAAGUGAACACAGAAACCAUUCCACAGAAGCUUGAUUAUUAUCAUCAUCAAUUAAGAGCUUUGAUCCUAGUAAUAAUAUUUACUGCUACCACCAUCUCCUCUUGACAUUUGGACCUUCUUGCCACAACUGGAAUGAAGUAUAUUCACUGAUAACUAGUGGACAGUGCUCCAGGAUGCUGCUAAACCUGCUAAAAUGUGCAAAUAGCUCCUCACUAAAAGAAUUAUCUGGGCCACACCAGCCGUAAUCCAGAGCUUCAGAAAUCCUGCUUUGGAAGUAGGUACAUCUACAUACAUUUACUUGUACAUAUGUACACUUAUAUUUAUGCAAGCUGAACUCUGUGGGUUGAUGUAGCAGAGCAGGGAACAUUUAAAUUUCAUCUUUUAACAAAUUCUUCAGUAGCUCGAUCUUUUCCUUUGUUUCUUGAAACAUUUCCACUGUAUCCAUUAUGUUCAGCCUCAAUAAACAAUAAACUUGCCAUUGUUAGACUACAGGUUUCUUCUUAAAGCUAGUAUGCUCAACAAGCUAGGUAAAAUUGGUGACUUGCAACCAAAUUCUCCACUCUAAAAGGACUUUCUGGGGGGAAAGGCUGGUCCAGACACUCUAAGAAUGAGAGUGGAGGUGAGAGGAAUGAAGAGCCCAGUUUACUGGGAUCUGCAAUUCAAACAACUCAGCAUGCAGUUACUGUGCUUUUAAUUUCCUUGUAUUGAUGGUUUCUUCAGUACUUGGAGCCACAAGUUGUAGAUGAUGGCUUAGCGUUGGGGCCUGAAACUCUGGGUAAAUUUGGUCCUUACAAGAACAGCCCAUGCCAGCUGGUCAAGCAAGCAUAGUUGUAGAUGAUGGCUCAGCAUUGGGUCCUGAAACGCUGGGUGAAUUUGGUCCUUUUACAAAAAUAGUCCAUGCCAGCCAGUCAAGCAAGCAUAAUACCCUUUAAGUCUGGCAUCCACAUGCAGAUUCAGUGUCCUUUCCAGGUGGAUGUACACCUACUGAUUAUCUUCCAGGAAGCAAAACCCAGGUGCAAGCACAGAUUGAAUUCUGAAUAACUUGGAUGGAGAACUUCCAAAUGUCUCAGUCAUCACUUGGAUUUUGCAUUUUGUCAGCAAUGAAGCAGUAACUACUAGUCCAGUGCAGCUCAGUGGCAGAGACCUGGCCUUAUAUGCAGGAGGAUCUGAGUUCAAUCCCUAGAAUCAGACAUUACAACUUCCAAAAAGAUCCACUGACAUGAUAUAUGCUACAAGUUUCCACAACUACGGAGUCUUAGCUUCCAGGCCUCCUUCCAUUGUAGAUUACGUUUUCUUCAAUGACAGGAGCCUAACUUGACUGUCAUCUGGGACGCUCCAGCCAACAGCAGAUAGACACAGAUGGUGGGACUUUCAGCCAAAUGGAACUCUGGAGGUCCUGUGGAAGUGCUGGGGAAAAGAUGGAAGGACCUGGAGGGAACAGGAACCUCACAAGAAGACCAACAGAGACAAAUAACCCAGUCACAUGGGGGCUUUCGGAGACUGAGACAUCAACUAAAGAGCAUGCAUGCUCUGGACUUAGGCCUCCUGCACAUAUGUGGUCGAUGGGCAGCUUGAUUUUCAUAUGGGGUACCCGGCUAGCGGAGGUGAGCUGUUUCUAACAUGGACUCUAUUGCCUGCUUUUGGAUCACUUCCUCCUAGCAGGGCUGCCUUGCAUAUCCUCAGGAGAUAAGGAUAUGAUCAGUCCUGAUGUGACUUGAUGUGACCUUCUGAGGAAGGUUAAUACAGGGGGCUCCCCUUUUCUGGGGGAAAAGGGAGAGGGGAAGGAGGGGAAGAGAGGGGACUGGAAGGAGGGCAGGGAGAGGGCAUCCUCAGGAUGUAAAGAAAAUAAAAUAACAUAAAGUUUAAAAUAAAUAAUCUGAUGUCAUCUUCUGGCCUCAGUCACACGUGUUCAUCGAUAGAGGGAAAAUACCCAUACAUGUUGUUUUAGUCAGUGUUCUAUUGCUGUGAAGAGACACCAUGACCAUAGCAAAUCUUAUAAAAGAAAGGAUUUCACUGGGGCUUCCUUACAGUUUUAGAGGUUCAGUACAUUAUCCUCAUGAUGGGGAGCAUGGUGGAACACAAGCAAAUACAGUAGCUGAGAGUUUUACAUCUGGAAGUGAAGGCAGCAGGAAGAGAGAGAGACAUUGGCCUGGUGUGGGCUUUUGAAAUCCUAAUCCCCCCCCCCCCGUGACACUUCCUCCAAUGAGGCCAUACCUCCUAAUCUUUCUAAUCAUUUUAAAUAGUGGCCUCCCUGAUGACUAAGCAUUCCAAUAUAUGAGCCUAUAUAGAGCCAUUCUUAUACAAAACCACAAUCCCAUUGAUCAGAUACAAUGCUAAAUAGAUUCUGUGUAACGGACUACCCUACUUUCUCCUCUGGGAUAAAGCUGCAGUCUUCAUGGACCCAGAGACCCUUUGAUGUCCAUUCCCUCAAAUUUUUCUAAUGAAUUUAGUUUGGGGAGCCAUGGAUUCAAACAUAUUAAAAGACCCCCACAUUCUUUCUGCUGCGUUGACAGCUGAUCCUAUAGACUCGCAGAUUCCAUUUUUCUUCUUUCUGGUACUUUCUAAAUUAGCCCAGCAACAGCCCCACAAUUCACUAAGUUUAGAAAAUCCACCCUUCUUCAGCUCACCCAAAACAUAUAUCUCUUCCUUAAUCAUUGGAAAGAUUCAGGAAGACCAUUCCACCUUUGGUAAUUACCUCACCCACUUCAAAACAUAUCACAUGAAAAAGUUAUGUUUCAGAACAUUGUAGCAUAGUGUGUCCUAGUCCUAGGGCAGGACAUGCUUUAGAUCAAGCUUUCACUGUCAACUUGGCAUCAUUGUCAUAUCCUGCCUCAAAGCGAAACUUGAAUUCUGAGGCACUUUGGGAUGGCUCCCACCCUCUUGUGACUCAAGUUUCAGAAGAUCCAAAUCAUCUUCUGGCUUCCUCAAGUAUCGGCACACAUGUGCACGUGAAGUCACAUGCAUACAUUUACAAGAAAAAGUAAUGAUGCUGGUGCACGCCUGUAAUCCCAGCACUUGGGAAACAAAGGCAGACAGACCUCUGUGAGUUCAAGGCCAGCCUGGUCUACAGAGUGAGACAGUUUAUUGUACAUUCCCUCAAAUUUUCCCAGGGAACUCAAUUUGGGGAGCCAGAGUUAUGAAGGGAGACCCUGUCUCAAAAAAAAAAGUUUAAUACAAGUAUUAAGAAAGGGUUACUGAGUAAGAAAAUGCUUACUGACAAAAGAACAAACUUAGUGAUUAGAAGCUUGAAUAAGUGACUAUAAAGGGUCAAAAACUAGCAUAAAUAUCUGAGGAUCUCUUUCAAACAAUUGAAAAGCUGACAGUAGAUGUGAGGUUAAUUGUGGAAGAGACAGGGCAUAUUCAGAAGGAGAAGGGGUUAGAAGGAAGGAUGAUGGCAGAUGAAAUGUGAGGAAACUAUAAUUAUAUACAUUUAUGAAAAGAUCCUGAAGAAAGACAACAAAAGAUUAAAGAAAGACAACAAAGAUAGCCACAAAAAUUAAUUUAAAGAAUACAUUUGUUUAAAGGAUACUUUUUAACUCCGGAAAUUGAAGCAGGAGAUGCCUAUGAUUUCAGGGCCAGCUCGGCCUGCAUAGCAAUAUAGCAAUAUAGCCCUUGCAAGCCAGGGCUAUAUUGAAAAACCCAAUCUCAAACCAUUAAAAAAGGAAUAUAUAUAUUUUUUUAAUUUUAUCAAUUUAUUUGAUAAACAGAGUGACGUUUUUGUUUUGUAAAACUUCACUGAUAUGUUUAUUUGCUUUCAGAGAAAUGAAUAGUUUUGAUAUACAAAGAUUUAAUAUUCAAAGAUACAAGAUCUUUGCUAAAUUUCUAAUGCAGACAUGUUUGUUUUUUGUCUGUUUAACUUCUUUUUUUCUCAGACUAAACCUCUUAUUUUUAGCACAGGAUGUCUUUAAAAUACUCUCCCUCCUACCUGAGAAUCGCACGUGCUAUGAUUACAGGUUUGUACCACCACAACUGGCUCCCUAAGAUGGAUUUCUUCUGAAAUAGUUCAUAAUUUAUCUUAUCAUAUAAACAAUAAUAAUGCAAAUUCACCUGAAAUACAGUGCAGUGGUUCAUGAUAAGCAUAUGUGUGCACUCAUCAAAUGUGGGUAAUUCAUAUUUCUCUGCCUUUAAAUGUUUAUCAUAUCCACAUGUUUGACAAAGCCUUUUGGUUUGUCUUUUCCACUACUGUAUUAACACUACUACAGAAUGAAGCUGGUGCCCCACACAGAUUAGGUAAGUACUCUACUACUAAACUGCACCCACCUAUUUUUAAUCCAUAUUAAGGACAAGUUAUGGAAGAAAAUAAAGCCACCAUAGAUAAAGUGUUGUGAGCAUUAACUAAUGUCACUAAAACUGACAAUAUGGAAUAUUUUUCCUUGGCCUGGAAUAUAGCUCCAGAAUAAAGGUCCUGCUUAAUACCCAUAAGGCCAUUGGUCAGGUGCCACUCUAGAAUAAGACUUACUGACAGAGAUUAAGGUUUUAAUAUGAACAUGAAUGAACAUGAUGAUGAAGUAUAGUUACAUAACAGAAAUCUAAGGAAGAUGGUCCAACAAGUGUGGGACUAGAGUCCAAAGCAUUAACAGAUAGCAAGUACAAGGUCAGACCUGAAUGGCAGCCAAGGCAGAAGAGUCUAUGGAAUAGCAGAAUUAAGGCUCGCAUUUGAAGGAUAUACAAGGUAUAAAGGAGAUGUAGGUCCCAGGUCCAGUGUAGACCAGUGUGGUGAAUUGAAUGAAAAUGGCCACCAUAGUCCCAUAGGGAGUGGCACCAUUGGAGGUGUGGCCUUGUUGAAAUAGGUGUGUACUUGUUGAAGAAAGUAUGUCACUGGGGGUGGGCUUCUCUCAGCUAUCUCUCCAGCACCCUGUCCACCUGCUUGCCACCAUGCUUUCAACCAUGAUCAUCAUGAACUAAAGCUCACAACUGCAAAUCAGCCCCAAUUAAAUGUUUUCUUUUGUAAGAGUUGACAUCAUUGAGGUGUCUCUUCACACAAUAGAAACUCACUUAAGACAAUCAGGAACUGGGUGACAGUGGCAUAUGCCUUUAAUCCCAGUACUCAGGAGGCAAAGGCCAGUGGAUCUCUGUGAGUUCGAGGCCAGCCUGUUCUACAGAGUGAGUUUCAAGAUAGCCAAGGACUACACAAAGAAACUUUGCUUCAGAAAAACAAAAAAGACAACCAGGGACAUGUAAAUUUCUGUGUUGAUCUUUUAAAAACCCAAAGUCAAGUCUAGACUUCAUUAGCAUGUAAUAUAGAGGGUGAUGUGGAGUGAAUUUUGUCAUACACCAUUCAUAGCUAGGAGCCAUAUGUCCCAUGUGAUUCUCCUGGGGGUGAUAGAGGUAAUGUGGUUUCGCAAGGAUAUAUAUCUGAUGAACUGAACUGGGGACCUGUGGAAAAGGAAGAGACAGCAGAAGUGCUGGACUUCAGAAGAAAUUAUAUGGUUCCUCUACUCCUGUUCCCUUCUGCCGUAAAUCUCUCCAAAAUCUUGACUAGAGAAUCCCUGCCUUUGGGAUUCCCUUGUGUGUUGAAGGAGCUGAAUAACUUCAUCUGAUCACUUUUGUGCAUGAAAGAAAAGGGUUGGGGGGAGAGCAAGAGCACUCAUGCAUGAUAUUCUAUAUAUGUGGAUAUCCAUCCACCCUAUUUGAAACAGCCUCUAUUGUUUAUUCUGCUAUAGAUCAGGUUCGUUUGCCCUGGAGCUAAUGAGGAUUUUGCUGUCUCUACCUAUUAAAAUACUGGGAUUACAGCGGGGCACUGGUGGUAUCUACCUUUAAUCCCAGCAGAGGCAGGCAGAUCUCGGAGUUCUUGGCCAGCCUGGUUUACUGAGUGAGUUCCAAGGACAGUCAAUGUUACGCCAUGAAGGGGCUGGAGAGAUGGCUCAAUGAUUAAGAGCAUUGUCUGUUCUUCCAAAAGACCCAGCACCCACAUGACAGCUCACAACUGUCUGUAAUGCCGAUUCCAAGGGAUCUGACCUCUUCACACUAAUGCACAUAAAAUAAAAUUAAAUAUUUUUUUUAAAAAAAAGAAAGAAAGGAAUACUGGGAUUACACACACAGUUACAUCAAGCCAUCUAUAUCUAGUCUCAUCAUGUUUGUGAGAUUUCACAGGAAUCCAGGAGGUUCAUAUUCAGUCUGAGGACCCAUAACAUUGUCUUUUUUAUUAAUUGUUAUUACAUACAUAUAUGGUGGAGUCCUCAAGGAAUGGGAUAUGUUUUUUUUAUAUAUAUAUUCUUGGACAUUGUUCAAGCAUUUACUGUUCAAUGAAGUGUGUUUUCAUGUCUUAAAUUCCUUGGAUUUAUUUAUAAAAUGUGUGAUUGUUCUAUUAAAUUCUGUAUCCUGAGGUUCAUCUAGCUAGUUCUCAUUAAAGAACAUUGCUGUUGGACCAGAUGGUUUGAUGGGCAACAUUCUGUUGGGAAUAUCCAUGUUGGUUUUGUUUUCUUAUAUUUAUCCUGAGCAUAUGGACUUAUUUCUUGAAUUGUGUCAAAUAUGACAAUCUGACCUUCCUUAGGUUGGUCCAGUGCAGGAGAUGAGGGACCUAACGUAAACCAUGUAAAGCUGGUGGAUGGGUUGUUUAAUUGGAUUAGGGAAGGAUAGCUCCUAACGCAAAGGACCGGGGCUAGGUCUGUUGAAGCUGUCAGAGGGGAUGGUGGGAGGGGAAAGAAGAAGGGUCAUCAGUCAAAGGUGGCUCCCAAAGAAAGUACAUUUGCAGCCAGGUACAGUGCUGCAUGCCUGUAAUCCCAGCACUCAGUAAGCAGAGACAGGCAGAUCUCUGUGAGU
Long non-coding RNA from Meriones unguiculatus (Mongolian gerbil), 8168 nucleotides. RefSeq lists it as uncharacterized. The record is from RefSeq and is a predicted model, not a curated record. The transcript is spliced from 4 exons. NCBI's taxonomy places the organism in Eukaryota, Metazoa, Chordata, Mammalia, Rodentia, Muridae.